GACGGAGGAUGCAAGCGUUAUCCGGAAUGAUUGGGCGUAAAGCGUCCGCAGGUGGCAGUUCAAGUCUGCUGUCAAAGACCGGGGCUUAACUUCGGAAAGGCAGUGGAACUGAACAGCUAGAGUAUGGUAGGGGCAGAGGGAAUUCCUGGUGUAGCGGUGAAAUGCGUAGAGAUCAGGAAGAACAUCGGUGGCGAAGGCGCUCUGCUGGACCAUAACUGACACUCAGGGACGAAAGCUAGGGGAGCGAAUGGG
This 252-nucleotide ribosomal RNA is filed under the name uncultured bacterium. RNAcentral's name for it is "partial 16S ribosomal RNA". It matches the Rfam family "Bacterial small subunit ribosomal RNA", at positions 524 to 776 of the family's 1533-position model. The record is from RNAcentral.